UACGUAGGGUGCAGGCGUUAAUCGGAAUUACUGGGCGUAAAGAGCGUGUAGGCGGCCAGAUAAGUCCGCUGUGAAAUCUCGAGGCUCAACUUCGAGCUGUCGGUGGAAACUAUCUGGCUAGAGUCCGGAAGAGGAGAAUGGAAUUCCUGGUGUAGCGGUGAAAUGCGCAGAUAUCAGGAAGAACACCCGUGGCGAAGGCGGUUCUCUGGGACGGUACUGACGCUGAGACGCGAAAGCGUGGGGAGCGAACAGG
This 253-nucleotide ribosomal RNA is filed under the name uncultured bacterium. Its description in RNAcentral is "partial 16S ribosomal RNA". It matches the Rfam family "Bacterial small subunit ribosomal RNA", at positions 524 to 776 of the family's 1533-position model. The record is from RNAcentral.